GUGUGCAUGAAGGGAAGAGCAUACACUCUGGAAAAUGCACCUAUUUCUCAAAAGCCACACAGAUUCCCUUUGCGGCACCAAUGCAGGGCAGUCAGAUAACUCUGAAACAUGGUAGAAACAGGUUGCUGAGCCAAAAUGGCGAAGGUAGAGAGACGAUCACAUAAGCAUUUCGUAUGGGAUGCAUCGGAGUUUGGGAGCAGAGAUCAACCAUGAUAGAAGGGAAAUAUGGCUCUGGAAGCAACUGUGCUGCUAUGGAAUGGGAAAGGGCUGACCUGGGCAGCUAUGAAGAGGAUGUACAUGGAUCUCGAGCCAUGAAUGGGAUUUGAGAGCCUGUCUCACAAAGUAUGGGGAAGAUAACCCCUGCCAUCUGAGGAAAUGAACUGAAGAAAAAGUAAGGGAUUGAAACUCAAGGAGUUUCCUGGCCCCUGCUUGGUAAUUCCCAUAUGGUACGGGAUGGUACAGAUCCAUUGUUAUUAAAGUUGUGGGAACCCAUGUUUGUUUAUACAUAAUGUCAACAAACUAUGGAACAGAACAUUCCUCCCCUACUGUUAGCUGAGGGACACACACCUGUGCAAGGGGCAUUUGAUCCAUAGUAUUGUCUCUUUCCCUGCCAGGGCCUCUACAGAAGCUCCUCUACAAGAAUUGCAGGGAGUCAGGACCUCACACAAAUUUGGGGAACAGAAACAUCAGCGCAGAAGACUAACAACUUUCCAUGGCUUCAUCUCUGACUAAACUUGUAGAUUUCCCUGUAGAAAGUUGAUCUGGACUUAAUUCUAUGCCUUUCUGCUACAUGCAUGCUGCCAAGGGGAGGAGGGCAACAUGGGAUGGCUUCGCCCUACUUGUGAGAUCUAGGGUUUCCUUUCCCAGGAUGAACAGAGGUGGAAGGUUGCACUUCCUUUCAACUCCAUUCCUUCCCAAAUCAAUCCCCCCCGAGGGAAUGAUUGCAAAUAAAUUAGCAUUGGUCAAAAAGGAGGAAAAUAUUUGUAAAAAAAUUCUCUUUGUUUUUGUGGAAACAUUUUGAAAUUAAGUGUUUUUUGACCAGCUUUAUUGCCAA
Long non-coding RNA from Mauremys reevesii (Reeves's turtle), 1054 nucleotides. RefSeq lists it as uncharacterized. The transcript has 3 exons. The record is from RefSeq and is a predicted model, not a curated record. NCBI's taxonomy places the organism in Eukaryota, Metazoa, Chordata, Testudines, Geoemydidae.